UACGAAGGGGGCUAGCGUUGUUCGGAAUUACUGGGCGUAAAGCGUAUGUAGGCGGAUCGUUAAGUCGGGGGUGAAAUCCCGAGGCUCAACCUCGGAACUGCCUUCGAUACUGGCGAUCUUCGAGUCCGGGAGAGGUGAGUGGAACUCCGAGUGUAGAGGUGAAAUUCGUAGAUAUUCGGAAGAACACCGGUGGCGAAGGCGGCUCACUGGACCGACAUUGACGCUGAGGCGCGAAAGCCAGGGGAGCAAACGGG
RNAcentral lists this ribosomal RNA (254 nucleotides) under uncultured bacterium. Its description in RNAcentral is "partial 16S ribosomal RNA". It matches the Rfam family "Bacterial small subunit ribosomal RNA", at positions 524 to 776 of the family's 1533-position model. The record is from RNAcentral.